GAUGAAGAACGUAGCGAAAUGCGAUAAGUAAUGUGAAUUGCAGAAUUCAGUGAAUCAUCGAAUCUUUGAACGCACCUUGCGCUCCUUGGUAUUCCAAAGAGCAUGCCUGUUUGAGUAUCAUUAAAUUAUCAACUGUACCAAUUUGGUUGCAGAUUGGAUGUGGGAGAUUUUGCAGGCUUUUGAUUUCUCUUUGAGAAAACGGUCAGCUCUCCUGAAAUAUAUUAGCAGUGCCUUUGUUGGUUCAUUAGGUGUGAUAAUUUAUCUACAUCUUCACAUGGUACCUUCGUUUGUGUAAAGGUCAUAUUGCUUCUAAUUGUCUUUGGACAUAAAAAAAAAAAAAACAUAUAAUUGUAUGGAAAACUUGAUCUCAAAUCAGGCAGGACUACCCGCUGAACUUAAGCAUAUCAAUAAGCGGAGGA
This 419-nucleotide unclassified non-coding RNA is filed under the name soil metagenome. Its description in RNAcentral is "partial contains 5.8S ribosomal RNA, internal transcribed spacer 2, and large subunit ribosomal RNA". The stretch from base 1 to 120 matches the Rfam family "5.8S ribosomal RNA", at positions 35 to 154 of the family's 154-position model. The record is from RNAcentral.